UGGGGAAUAUUGCACAAUGGGCGCAAGCCUGAUGCAGCCAUGCCGCGUGUAUGAAGAAGGCCUUCGGGUUGUAAAGUACUUUCAGCGGGGAGGAAGGCGAUAAGGUUAAUAACCUUGUCGAUUGACGUUACCCGCAGAAGAAGCACCGGCUAACUCCGUGCCAGCAGCCGCGGUAAUACGGAGGGUGCAAGCGUUAAUCGGAAUUACUGGGCGUAAAGCGCACGCAGGCGGUCUGUCAAGUCGGAUGUGAAAUCCCCGAGCUCAACCUGGGAACUGCAUUCGAAACUGGCAGGCUAGAGUCUUGUAGAGGGGGGUAGAAUUCCAGGUGUAGCGGUGAAAUGCGUAGAGAUCUGGAGGAAUACCGGUGGCGAAGGCGGCCCCCUGGACAAAGACUGACGCUCAGGUGCGAAAGCGUGGGGAGCAAACA
This 427-nucleotide ribosomal RNA is filed under the name uncultured bacterium. RNAcentral's name for it is "partial 16S ribosomal RNA". It matches the Rfam family "Bacterial small subunit ribosomal RNA", at positions 355 to 774 of the family's 1533-position model. The record is from RNAcentral.